Non-coding RNA from Tribolium castaneum (red flour beetle), 99 nucleotides. The record is from RefSeq and is marked provisional. NCBI's taxonomy places the organism in Eukaryota, Metazoa, Arthropoda, Insecta, Coleoptera, Tenebrionidae.
GGCAAUGGGAGGGGGAUUGGCAGCUGGAGUUGACUCUUGAUGGACAGCCCCUAGACCACCAAGGGUGGACUUAUGCUGUUGAUUUCCCGUCACAAUAUU